Molecule: long non-coding RNA, 1939 nt
Organism: Dreissena polymorpha
Lineage: Eukaryota; Metazoa; Mollusca; Bivalvia; Myida; Dreissenidae
Exons: 10
Source: RefSeq, a predicted model, not a curated record
CCUCCAGCGCCAACACCUGUCGAAGCUAGUGCGUCUACAGAACAAUCGCACUUCGAGUUGAUUUCGGAUGAUGAAUCUGCAGAGAUGUUUUAUGCAUAUGCGAUUCUACAAUGAAAAUAGACAGAAGGAACAAUUUUCAUGUCAAUUUUCAUGUCAAUAUUAAUUAAUAAAUAAUACAUGUAUUAUGUUUGUUGCAUUUUGUAGUGACCAUAUGCAUAACUAGCGAUUCCAUCAUCUAGAAGAUAUCGUUUAUCAUCAAAACAGGAUAAACCUAUUUUAGUGAUUUUCUCAAGAAAAAUUUUAUGAUUGUGACUUCUGAAUGAAUGCAUUUUUGAUAAUAGCGAGGACUCUUCAAAUAACACAUUUUUAUAAUGUUGUAAUCUUAAUUCUUUUUUAACAACAUGUUUUGAAAUUCCUUUCGCUCUUUUGUCUUCUUUGUUAUCACAAAUAUAUGCAUACAUUUUUGAUCGCAAACCACAAUAUUCCGAUAUACUUUUGUUUAUUGUUUCACUUUUCAUUUUACCCAUUACCUUUUUAUUUACAUUACUGAAAAGAUAAUGAUCUUUAGGGAAAUCAGAAGUAUCAAACAAAUGGGCAUAUGCAUACAUGUCAUUAAACAAAUCAUUUGUUUCACAAUAAAACAAAAACGAAUCGGUAUCAGUCAUUUGUAACUGCACUUUUGAACCAUAAAGUCGUUUCAAAUGGUUAUAAUAGAAGUCAUACAUAGUAUAUUUUGAUAAAUCUAAAACAGUCAUUCCAAUAUAUAUGGGUUUAUUAAGUUUCAAUUUAAGACGAUUUAAUUCUACUCCAACAAGAUCUUCACAGAAAAUUCUAUGGAGUUUAUAGGUUGAUUUUGCAGCGACCUUCUUCAAUCUUUUUUCUGUGUGGACCAACUCUACUGAACGAUGCUUUCGAAGAUUUUCCAUUGUUUUACCUGAAAUAUAAUAAGAAGUAUGUAUUAUUAUUUUUUCUAUUAUUGUUGAAAUACAUGUAUCGAUUUUUAUGCAAUCGCUGUAUGCUAUCCUAUUUACUUUCAGCUCAUUAGUACUAAAAUUCUAUUUCGGUUACUUAAAUCUCUUUCCUAUAAAUUAUUAACAUGGGGGUUCAUUUCAUCGACGACCAUCUUGUUGAAAAUUAACAUCAACAAAUCUUCUGAAACUUUAAUAACUGUUAUUUAUGCUGGAGAUAGAGUUGCAGGUUUCGAUAAUGGAGUACGUAGUCUUUCUUGUCUUCUAGAGUGCAGAGUUCAAUGAUGGCGGUGUGGAAGCAGCUUCCAAAGAAGAGGCACCUGCAGCACUCUGGUCUUCUCGCAUUGCAUAGUGGUGGUCAUUAUCGAUCAGUGAAGAGGCACCUGCAGCACUCUGGUCUUCUCGCAUUGCAUAGCGGUGGUCAUUAUCGAUCAGUGAAGAAUUUUUUUGAGAGAGUCGGAACACAAUCAAAGUUUGAUGAGGGAAUAUCUCUGUUCGUAGUUUAUAUAACUGAUUUGAAUGUGGACUUAUAUCAACCACUGCAAUGGUUUGAGAGCGACACUCAAGUCGAUUGAAUGGGUACUUGGCUGUACUACUUUUCAACAUCUCAGAAUGGGCAACGAUGAUAGCUGGAUUGACCCUGACUUUCUUUGCUAGAAGUCUGUUCUGAUGGAGAAACUGAGUUGAUGCUGACACUACUUUCUGGAGCAGACUUUUGUGAGGUUACAAAUCCCUUUCCUACCUGAGAAGGCUUCCAUUGCUGUGGAGUGCAUUGAACGACAUCAUGGCCUAGAAGAACAUACCCGGGGAUAAUACCAGCAGCAACAAGUAUCACGCAACCGCCAAAAUGCACGCCGCCAUUUUGAAGCAUGUCUGAGUGAACCGAUGGUUUCCAUGGAUUCCACGAAGAUUCAAUUGAUUUGUUGGUUUUUAAUUCUCCAAUUAUUUUUAAAAAUAAACAUUUUGGUGAA